RNAcentral lists this ribosomal RNA (492 nucleotides) under uncultured bacterium. Its description in RNAcentral is "partial 16S ribosomal RNA". It matches the Rfam family "Bacterial small subunit ribosomal RNA", at positions 29 to 507 of the family's 1533-position model. The record is from RNAcentral.
AGUGAACGCUGGCGGUAGGCCUAACACAUGCAAGUCGAACGGCAGCACAGUAAGAGCUUGCUCUUACGGGUGGCGAGUGGCGGACGGGUGAGGAAUACAUCGGAAUCUACUUUUUCGUGGGGGAUAACGGAGGGAAACUUAUGCUAAUACCGCAUACUACCUACGGGUGAAAGCAGAGGUUCUUCGGACCUUUCGCGUUUGAUUGAGCCGAUGUCGGAUUAGCUAGUUGGCUGGGUAAAGGCCCACCAAGGCGACGAUCCGUAGCUGGUCUGAGAGGGUGAUCAGCCACACUGGAACUGAGACACGGUCCAGACUCCUACGGGAGGCAGCAGUGGGGAAUAUUGGACAAUGGGCGAAAGCCUGACCCAGCAACACCGCGUGAGUGAAGAAGGUCUUCGGGUUGUAAAACCCUUUUGUUGGGAAAGAAAAGCAGCAGGUUAAUCCCCCGCUGUUCUGACGGUACCCAAAGAAUAAGCAACGGCUAACUUCGUG